CAGCCGCCGCGGGAAUACAGAGGGUGCGAGCGUUAAUCGGAUUUACUGGGCGUAAAGCGUGCGUAGGCGGCUUUUUAAGUCGGAUGUGAAAUCCCCGGGCUUAACCUGGGAACUGCAUUUGAAACUGGCAGGCUAGAGUCUUGUAGAGGGGGGUAGAAUUCCAGGUGUAGCGGUGAAAUGCGUAGAGAUCUGGAGGAAUACCGGUGGCGAAGGCGGCCCCCUGGACAAAGACUGACGCUCAGGUGCGAAAGCGUGGGGAGCAAACAGGAUUAGAUACCCCUGUAGUCCCUGUCUCUUAACA
This 301-nucleotide ribosomal RNA is filed under the name uncultured bacterium. RNAcentral describes it as "partial 16S ribosomal RNA". It matches the Rfam family "Bacterial small subunit ribosomal RNA", at positions 509 to 808 of the family's 1533-position model. The record is from RNAcentral.